This 498-nucleotide ribosomal RNA is filed under the name uncultured bacterium. Its description in RNAcentral is "partial 16S ribosomal RNA". It matches the Rfam family "Bacterial small subunit ribosomal RNA", at positions 29 to 523 of the family's 1533-position model. The record is from RNAcentral.
AUUGAACGCUGGCGGAAUGCUUUACACAUGCAAGUCGAGCGGCAGCGCGGGGCAACCUGGCGGCGAGCGGCGAACUGGUGAGUAACAUAUCGGAACGUACCCAUUGGUGGGGGAUAACACAUCGAAAGAUGUGCUAAUACCGCAUAAGACCUGAGGGGGAAAGGGGGGGAUCGCAAGACCUCUCGCCGUUGGAGCGGCCGAUAUCGGAUUAGCUAGUUGGUGGGGUAAAGGCUCACCAAGGCGACGAUCCGUAGCUGGUCUGAGAGGACGACCAGCCACACUGGGACUGAGACACGGCCCAGACUCCUACGGGAGGCAGCAGUGGGGAAUUUUGGACAAUGGGGGCAACCCUGAUCCAGCCAUUCCGCGUGAGUGAAGAAGGCCUUCGGGUUGUAAAGCUCUUUCAGCAGGAACGAAACGGUGUGGGUUAAUACCCUGCAUCAAUGACGGUACCUGAAGAAGAAGCACCGGCUAACUACGUGCCAGCCGCCGCGGUAA